RNAcentral lists this ribosomal RNA (654 nucleotides) under Triticum aestivum (bread wheat). RNAcentral describes it as "partial small subunit ribosomal RNA". The record is from RNAcentral. Lineage: Eukaryota; Viridiplantae; Streptophyta; Magnoliopsida; Poales; Poaceae.
AUGUCUGGUGUUCUGAUCUUCCUUGUGAUUCAAGUCCUUGUACUCUCUUCAACACAUGAUACAGUAUGGGGGCCCUUGAGCAAAUCCUUGGAAGACCUUCUGAAACGGCUUCUUCGUCCAAAAGAGUCCAGCCAAGAAUCUGCUUCUGAGCGGCAAGAAAACUCAUGUCAUGAUGAGAAAGAAAAGAGAAAGAGGCACCAAGCUGGUCUGAACCCGCCUGGUGGUUUCUGGUAUGAUGAUCCCAACCAUGUUGCAGGCAAUCCAGUCCUUCAUGAUAUUCAUCCCUGGCGCUACAGAGCAUUCUUCAUCUUCAAUGGUAUCUCCUUCAUGACAUCUAUUGUCGUGAUCAUGUUUCUGUUGAACAAGUCUGUGAGGAAGAAGGGUGUUCUACUUGAGGUAUUGCAUUUGAUCAUGAUACUAGAUCUGCUAGCUCUUAUGACAGCUUUUGCUGCGGGAAGCUGCCGAAAAUUCAGGACUUCAAUGUAUGUCUAUGGGCUAGUAAUUGCCGUUGCAGUAUACCUUGUGGUUGCAAUAGGUGUAACAAGCAGCAUUGCAAAGUGUCUGAGACUAAGGAAGAGAAAUGGGCGCUCCCUCAAAGGACAUCCUGAAAGUGCUUCCACAACAAACCCGCCGAUCGCUGGACAACAAGUUUGA